GACGAACGCUGGCGGCGUGCUUAACACAUGCAAGUCGAACGGAAAGGCCCUGCUUUUGUGGGGUGCUCGAGUGGCGAACGGGUGAGUAACACGUGAGUAACCUGCCCUUGACUUUGGGAUAACUUCAGGAAACUGGGGCUAAUACCGGAUAGGAGCUCCUGCUGCAUGGUGGGUGUUGGAAAGUUUCGGCGGUUGGGGAUGGACUCGCGGCUUAUCAGCUUGUUGGUGGGGUAGUGGCUUACCAAGGCUUUGACGGGUAGCCGGCCUGAGAGGGUGACCGGCCACAUUGGGACUGAGAUACGGCCCAGACUCCUACGGGAGGCAGCAGUGGGGAAUAUUGCACAAUGGGCGGAAGCCUGAUGCAGCAACGCCGCGUGCGGGAUGACGGCCUUCGGGUUGUAAACCGCUUUCGCCUGUGAUGAAGCGUGAGUGACGGUAAUGGGUAAAGAAGCACCGGCUAACUACGUG
Molecule: ribosomal RNA, 468 nt
Filed under: uncultured bacterium
Lineage: Bacteria
Description: partial 16S ribosomal RNA
Rfam family: Bacterial small subunit ribosomal RNA
Source: RNAcentral